RNAcentral lists this ribosomal RNA (492 nucleotides) under uncultured bacterium. RNAcentral's name for it is "partial 16S ribosomal RNA". It matches the Rfam family "Bacterial small subunit ribosomal RNA", at positions 30 to 507 of the family's 1533-position model. The record is from RNAcentral.
AUUGAACGCUGGCGGUAGGCCUAACACAUGCAAGUCGAACGGCAGCACAGUAAGAUCUUGCUCUUACGGGUGGCGAGUGGCGGACGGGUGAGGAAUACAUCGGAAUCUACUUUUUCGUGGGGGAUAACGUAGGGAAACUUACGCUAAUACCGCAUACGACCUACGGGUGAAAGCAGGGGAUCUUCGGACCUUGCGCGAUUGAAUGAGCCGAUGUCGGCUUAGCUAGUUGGCUGGGUAAAGGCCCACCAAGGCAACGAUCCGUAGCUGGUCUGAGAGGGUGAUCGGCCACACUGGAACUGAGACACGGUCCAGACUCCUACGGGAGGCAGCAGUAGGGAAUAUUGGGCAAUGGGCGCAAGCCUGAUCCAGCCAUGCCGCGUGGGUGAAGAAGGCCUUCGGGUUGUAAAGCCCUUUUGUUGGGAAAGAAAAGCAGCAGAUUAAUACCCCGCUGUUCUGACGGUACCCAAAGAAUAAGCACCGGCUAACUUCGUG